UACGUAGGGUGCGAGCGUUAAUCGGAAUUACUGGGCGUAAAGCGUGCGCAGGCGGUUAUUUAAGUCAGGGGUGAAAGCCCUGGGCUUAACCUAGGAAUUGCGCUUGAGACUGGAUAGCUUGGAGUGCGGCAGAGGGAGGUGGAAUUCCACGUGUAGCAGUGAAAUGCGUAGAGAUCGUAAGGAAGACCAAUGGCGAAGGCAAGUCUCUGGACAGUUACUGACGCUGAGGCACGAAGGCCAGGGGAGCAAACGGG
RNAcentral lists this ribosomal RNA (254 nucleotides) under uncultured bacterium. RNAcentral describes it as "partial 16S ribosomal RNA". It matches the Rfam family "Bacterial small subunit ribosomal RNA", at positions 524 to 776 of the family's 1533-position model. The record is from RNAcentral.